UUGAAGUUUAAAAAUCGUAACAAGGUUUCCGUAGGUGAACCUGCGGAAGGAUCAUUACCGGAGUUGAUUCGAGCUCCGGCUCGACUCUCCCACCCCAUGUGUACCUACCUCUGUUGCUUUGGCGGGCCGCGGUCCUCCGCACCGACCCCCGUUCGGGGGCCGGCCAGCGCCCGCCAGAGGACCACAAAACUCCAGUCAGUAAACGUCGCAGUCUGAGAAACAAGUUAAUAAACUAAAACUUUCAACAACGGAUCUCUUGGUUCUGGCAUCGAUGAAGAACGCAGCGAAAUGCGAUAAGUAAUGUGAAUUGCAGAAUUCAGUGAAUCAUCGAAUCUUUGAACGCACAUUGCGCCCCUUGGUAUUCCGAGGGGCAUGCCUGUUCGAGCGUCAUUUCAACCCUCAAGCUCUGCUUGGUAUUGGGCUCCGUCCUCCGCGGACGCGCCUCGAAGACCUCGGCGGUGGCGUCUUGCCUCAAGCGUAGUAGAAAACACCUCGCUUUGGAGCGCAUGGCGUCGCCCGCCGGACGAACCUUUGAAUUUUUCUCAAGGUUGACCUCGGAUCAGGUAGGGCCAUACCCGCUGAACUUAAGCAUAUCAAUAGGCCGGAGGAA
Molecule: ribosomal RNA, 610 nt
Filed under: Neofusicoccum australe
Lineage: Eukaryota; Fungi; Ascomycota; Dothideomycetes; Botryosphaeriales; Botryosphaeriaceae
Description: eukaryotic LSU rRNA
Rfam family: 5.8S ribosomal RNA (bases 237-390)
Source: RNAcentral